RNAcentral lists this long non-coding RNA (6404 nucleotides) under Pelobates cultripes (western spadefoot toad). The record is from RNAcentral. Lineage: Eukaryota; Metazoa; Chordata; Amphibia; Anura; Pelobatidae.
GCUUCCUCUCUGCUUGCUCUGCUACUCUCUACUUGCUUUGCUCUGUUUCCUCUCUGCCUACUCUGCUUGCUGCUUGCUGUGCUUCUAUUUGCAUGCUCAGCUUUUGCUCCUCUCUGCGUACUCUGCUCUUACUCUGCUCCCCUUUACUUGUUCCACUCCUCUCUGAUUUUCCACCUAUCCUGAGUCCAGCUCCAGUAAUAUUGACAGUAAGGAAAUGGAUUUAGCUCCCCACAGAUUGGGGGAGGCACCUUUGGGCGAGUUACUCUCAUCUAUCUUGUGAGUUAUACCUAUUUUGCGCAUUUAUUCAUAAAUAUACAGUAUUGUACUAUAUUUGAUUUUUAUAUUGUAGAUCCACAGCUGUAUCCUCCAUAUUGUUUGUACCAGCCCUGCACUGCUAACAGAAACUACAAGCAGGAGCUCGUUGCUCUCAGACAGGAAGGGCAGAGAAGAAGUCAAACGUUCUAAUACAUAUAUUAAUAUAAAAAUACACUUAUAAUUAAAUUACACAUAUAUAUAUAUAUAUAAAUAUAUAUAUAAUAACUAUAUAUAUUGUAUGUAUAUAUAUAUAUAUAUAUAUAUAUUAUAAAAUACAAAUAAUAAGUAAUUUAAAUUAAAUAAAAAAAUGUAAAAAUAAUAAUAAAAAUGUAAAAAAUAUACAUGUCCAUAUACAAAAUUACAUAAAUAAUUAUAUAAAUAUACACGUAGACUUCAAAUAUAUAAAUAUGCAUAUAUAUUUAAAUUCUACGUGCGUAUUUAUGUAAUAUUUUUACAUAAUUAAGUAAUUUUAUUGAUUGCAAUUUGAGGGACCUGCCUGCCAGCCCAGGCCGAAAAUCCAGAGAAUUUAAUGUAACCCUGUAACAUUCUAGGACACCCUAAAACCUGUACAUGGGGGUACUGUUUUACUCUGGAAACUUUGCUGAACACAAAUAUUAGUGAUUCAAAUAGUAAAACAUCACAGCGAUGAUUUUCACACACAAACAGCACUUUUACUGAUGAUAUAAUUGUUGUGAUAUGUUUUCCACUUUUGAAACACUAAUAUUUGUGUUCAGCAAAGUCUCCUGAGUAUAACAGUACCCCCCAUGUACAGGUUUUAGAGCAUUUUUGAAAGUUACAGGGUCAAAUGUAUGGGUCAAAUAUUUUUACACUGAAAAUGGCCAGGUUGGUUAAGUUGCUUUUGAGAGCGUAUGGUAGCCCAGGAAUGAGAAUUACCCCCAUAUUGGCAUACCAUUUGCAAAAGAAGACAACCCAGAGUAUUGCAAAUGGGGUAUGUCCAGUCUUUUUUAGUAACCACUUAGUCACAAAAACUGGCCAAAAUUAGCGUUCAAUUUAGUUUUUUACUUUUUUCACACAAAAACAAAUAUGAACGCUAACUUUGGCCAGUGUUUGCGACUAAGUGGCAACUAAAAAAGACUGGACAUACCCCAUAUUGAAUACCCUGGGUUGUCUACUUUAAAAAACAAUAUGUACAUGUGGGGUGUUAUUCAGAGAUUUAUGACAGAUAAUAGUGUUACAAUGCCACUAUAGAUAAAUCUUAAAAAUGUAUUGAAACCGCAAUAUCCUACUUGUACUUAUAGCCCUAUAACAUGCAAAAAAAUAGGAAAAAAGCAUGUAAACACUGGGUAUUUUUAAACUCAGGACAAAAUUUUGAAUCUAUUUAGCAGUUUUUUCAUUCGUUUUUGUAGAUGAGUAAAAGAUUUUUCAUGUAAAAGUCAAAAAACAUGUAUUUUUUAAAAAUUUUCAUCAUAUUUAAAAAAAUUUUUUUAAAAUUAACCCCUUAAGGACCGAGGACGGUUCAGGACUGUCAUCGGCAUUUUUCCAUUGCCGACCGAUGACUGUCCCGAACCGUCCUAACGGUCACAUGUACUUACCCGAUCGCCGUCGUUCCCCCGGCGGCGAUCGGCAGGGCUCCCGUUGUGGGGAGACUGCCUGCAGCCCAGACAGUCCCCCCAAUAGGAAAUUGGCAAACCAGUGUCCCUACAUAUCAUAAAUAUCCCUGACUCUGCAGGACCCUCACCCAUUAUCAAUGUUACACUGCCUGGGGACCGAAUAGUCCCUUUCCUGUUGGACACUGGCGCUGCUAAAUCAAUGUUACAGGAAAAAUAUGUAUUCCCGUAUGAGAAAUCUAAUGAUGUAUUAUCAUGUGUAGGGGUGGAUGGUAUCGAAAAUGACAUUCCCCUUACCCACAAGCUGAAAUUGAAGCUACACGACUCUACUGCCCUUGUAACCAGGCUACUUGUCAGCCCUCAUGCCCCUGCUAAUCUACUAGGCAGUGAUAUACUGUCUGCUCUUAGUGCAAGUAUCCAGUAUAGCCCCACUGGAAAAGUAACAUUGUCUGUGCCUUUAGAGGACAAACAAAUUAUAUCUCUUUCAAAUGUUCUGGCAACUCUCACUAUGCCCAGCCAUGUGCCAGAACCUACCAUUGACUUGUCCUCGGUCCUUAUGAUUCCUUAUGGGCUACAGGGAAGACAGAUACAGGCAGACUCUCUGUGUGCUCCCAGUCAAAGUGAAUCUCCUGCCCGGAGCCAAACCUCCCUGUCAAAAACAAUACCCCUAAGCCCAGCACAGGAAGAUGCUAUUUCACAAUCUGUGCAAGAGUUUCUGCAGGCAGGGGUAGUUGUCCAGACCACCUCCCCUUGUAACACACCAUUGUACCCAAUUAAGAAAAAGCAAGAGAAAGGGAAACCUGUGGUCUACUGUAUGGUACAUGAUUUGAGGGCAAUUAAUGCCUAUCCCCUUUUGAGAUCCUGUUUGGAUGUGCCCCAAAGACAGGCCUCUAUUUUCCCCAAACCCUCCAGAUGCAGCAUGGUAGUAUGACUGCCUAUGUUCAGGCCCUACACCAAAGAUUAGGCAGGGUGCAUAAACAAGUCUUUGAUUCUAUUCCAGAUCCAGACUCUGAUUCUGCAACUCACUAACUGCAGCCUGGUGAUUGGGUGGUGAUAAAGAGGCAUAUGAAGAAAGGACUUGAACCACGCUUUGACGGUCCAUUCCAAGUGCUCUUGACUACGGCUACCUCAGUGAAACUAGAAGGAAAAGCCACGUGGAUACACACCAGUCACUGUAAACAAGUCACUCCGACUGAUCCUCCGACAUGAAGCUGUUCUUAUCCUUUACCAUUUUAUGCUGUGUUCAGAUAUGCUACUCUGACUUGAGACCAGAAAAUAAUAAUGCAUGGCAGGAAAAUAUGUGGUUGCAGAUAGCAAAGGCUUUUAAUUUAACCUCCUUUUGGCUCAACCCUCUCCUCAGUAUUGAAAACGCCAUAGAAACUUGUCUUAUAGCUGUCCCUACCCCCAUCUCACUGUUGAGGAAGUACCUACAUACCCAUAGACCCCAUAAAUCUCUACAACUAUAUUCUUAUGCCUUCAACCCACUGGUUGGCAAGCCUCCUCUAGCCCUGAAGACAAUCAAUGUGACAGGCGCUGAACUAUGUUGGUCUUUUUCAUGUAAUUGUUCAAGAGACCCUAAUACUGAAUCCCUGUUUUGCCCCACAUGGUGGAAAAAUACCACGAAUUGUAGAGCCCUGAGCACCACUAUGAAUUGUACCAAAACUCACCAAGUUAUGAGUUACCACUACAAUGUCUAUCUUCCUAAAGGAUGGACUUUCUCCUGUGGAAAUAUUACUUAUGCUUAUGUCCCAGGUAACAUUACAGGAGGUCCCUGUGCAAUCUCUCGCCUAACCAUUACCAUGUUUUCCAGAUCUGACCUGAUCACUAAAACCACCCAGCUACACAAAUGGCUGAGAGACAGGAGAGAUGUUAAAAACACCCUUAAUGCAGAUUGUAACCCUGAAAUCACUCUCUUAUCUAAAGCCGAAUACUCUGCCCUAGCGUACACCUUGGUAGGAGUCCCAGGCUUAGCAUUGUAUAAUACCCGAGUAGUUAAUGCUGUAGCCUGUUCCCUUGCAAAAGGUUUAAAUGCCACUUCACAGGCUCUAGAAGAGCUACUGAUGGACCACCAGGCAAAUAAGAAGGCAAUCCUUGAGAAUAGUGCAGCCAUUGACUACUUACUAAUGAAACAUGACUUAGGCUGUGAAGCUAUUGAAGGUAUGUGCUGUUUUAACCUAUCUGACCAUCAGUGGCGUCACUGGGGGGGGCCAGAGGGGGCCAUGGCCCCCCCUACAUCAUGCUGUGCCCCCCCUUGGGCCCCCCCAAAUGCCAGCAACUUGCUGGCCAUGGGCUUCCCUCGGACUGUAACAGCCUGUUACAGCCGGGGAGGGAAUGCAGGAGAGAGGUGCUGGGGGCUGUCUGUGGCUGGAGGGAGUACUGAUUAGCUCCCCAGCACAGGCCCCGCCCCCAAACAAAGCCCCGCCUCCCGCAGAUAAGCCCCGCCCCCGCCAUAAUGCAGCAGCCCAUGCUGCUGCAGAAGAUGGCUGCCUGACCCCCAGCAACAGACUCCACUGACAGGUAGGCUGGAGUUGGUGUGUUCACACACACAUUGCCCCCCAUACACACACAUUGCCCCCCCACACACACACAUUGCCCCCCAUACUGCCCCAUACACACACAUUGCCCCCCAUACACACACAUUGCCCCCCAUACUGCCCCAUACACACACACAUUGCCCCCAUACACACACAUUAUUGCCCCCCUAUAUACACACAUUGCCCCCCAUACACACACACUUCCCCAUACACACACACACUGCCCCCUACACACACACACUGCCCCCCAUACACACACACACACUGACCCCCAUAGGCACACACUGAGGCCCCCCAUACAGUCCCCCUCUAUACACACACACAUUGCCCCCAUACUGCUCCCCAUAGACACACAUUGCCCCCCCAUACUGCUCUCCAUACACACACACUGCCCCCAUACACACACAUUGCCCCCCAUACUGCCCCCAUACACACACACUGCCCCCCAUACACACACACUGCCCCCAUACUGCCCCAUACACACACACUGCCCCCCAUACUGCCCCAUACACACACAUUGCCCCCCAUACANNNNNNNNNNNNNNNNNNNNNNNNNNNNNNNNNNNNNNNNNNNNNNNNNNNNNNNNNNNNNNNNNNNNNNNNNNNNNNNNNNNNNNNNNNNNNNNNNNNNAUAAACACACAUUGCCCCCCAUACUGCCCCCCUUACACACACAUUGCCCCACACACUGCCCCCAUACACACACAUUGCCCCACACACUGCCCCCCAUACACACACUCUGCCCCCCAUACAGCCUCCCAUACACACACACUNNNNNNNNNNNNNNNNNNNNNNNNNNNNNNNNNNNNNNNNNNNNNNNNNNNNNNNNNNNNNNNNNNNNNNNNNNNNNNNNNNNNNNNNNNNNNNNNNNNNAGUCUGUGUGUGUACGGACUCAGCAGUCUGUGUCUGUACGGACUCAGCAGUCUGUGUCUGUACGGACUCAGCAGAGUCUGUGUGUGUUUGUGUAUGGACUCAGCAGAGUCUGUGUGUGUGUAUGGACUCAUCAGUCUCUGUGUGUGUAUGGACUCAGCAGAGUGUUUGUGUGUGUAUGGACUCAGCUGUCUGUGUGUGUACGGACUCAGCAGUCUGUGUGUGUACGGACUCAGCAGUCUGUGUGUGUAUGGACUCAGCAGUCUGUGUGUGUGUGGACUCAGCAGAGUGUGUGUUUGUGUGUGUGUAUGUAUGGACUCAGCAGUCUCUGUGUGUGUAUGGACUCAGCAGUCUGUGUGUGUUUGUGUGUAUGGACUCAGCAGAGUGUGUGUGUUUGUGUGUAUGGACUCAGCAGUCAGUGUGUGUAUGGACUCAGCAGUCUGUGUGUGUACGGACUCAGCAGUCUGUGUGUAUGUAUGGACUCAGCAGUCUGUGUGUGUGUGUGUAUGGACUCAGCAGAGUGUGUGUGUGUGUGUAUGGACUCAGCAGAGUGUGCGUGUAUGGACUCAGCAGUCUGUGUGUGUUUGUGUAUGGACUCAGCAGAGGGUGUGUGUGUGUAUGGACUCAGCAGAGUGUGUGUGUGUGUGUAUGGACUCAGCAGUCUGUGUGUGUGUGUGUGUGUGUAUGGACUCAGCAGUCUGUGUGUGUGUGUAUGUGUGUGUGUAUGGACUCAGCAGUCUAUCAAUAAUUAAAAUUCCUGUGAGUUGUUGUGUAGGAAGGGCCCCAGUGCAUUGCUUUGCCCAGGGGCCCUUAACUCUGUUAAAAUGGUACUGCUUGUGUGUGUCAGUGAACUUCUAUUUAGUGAGCAUGUGUGUGUCAGUGAGCUUGUCUUUAGUGAGCUUGUGUGUGUGUCCCUGAACUUCUUUGUAGUGAGCCUUCUGUUUAUACAAGUGAGUGUCUGUAGUAAGCUUGUGUGUGAGUCAGAGAGUUUAGUCUGUCAGUAAGUCUAUUUGCACAUGUCAGUGAGCUUGUGUGCUUACUGUAAUAUAUAUAUAUAUAUUUAUUUUGACUUGUAGGAAUGGCAUACGUUUUUUUUCCAGGGCUGCUUUGGAUUCCCAG